RNAcentral lists this ribosomal RNA (301 nucleotides) under uncultured bacterium. Its description in RNAcentral is "partial 16S ribosomal RNA". It matches the Rfam family "Bacterial small subunit ribosomal RNA", at positions 509 to 807 of the family's 1533-position model. The record is from RNAcentral.
CAGUAGCCGCGGUAAUGCGGAAGGUCCAGGCGUUAUCCGGAUUUAUUGGGUUUAAAGGGAGUGUAGGCGGUCUGUUAAGCGUGUUGUGAAAUUUAGGUGCUCAACAUUUAACUUGCAGCGCGAACUGGCGGACUUGAGUGCACGCAACGUAUGCGGAAUUCAUGGUGUAGCGGUGAAAUGCUUAGAUAUCAUGACGAACUCCGAUUGCGAAGGCAGCGUACGGGAGUGUUACUGACGCUUAAGCUCGAAGGUGCGAGUAUCGAACAGGAUUAGAGACCCGCGUAGUCCCUGUCUCUUAUAC